This 261-nucleotide ribosomal RNA is filed under the name uncultured bacterium. Its description in RNAcentral is "partial 16S ribosomal RNA". It matches the Rfam family "Bacterial small subunit ribosomal RNA", at positions 793 to 1055 of the family's 1533-position model. The record is from RNAcentral.
GUCCACGCCCUAAACGAUGAAUACUCGUUGUUGGCGAUAUACAGUCAGCGACUAAGCGAAAGCGUUAAGUAUUCCACCUGGGGAGUACGUUCGCAAGAAUGAAACUCAAAGAAAUUGGCGGGGGUCCGCACAAGCGGUGGAUUAUGUGGUUUAAUUCGAUGAUACGCGAGGAACCUUACCAGGGCUAGAAUGGGAGGAGAAUAUAGGUGAAAGCUUAUAAGCUAGCAAUAGCUGCUUCCAAAGGUGCUGCAUGGUUGUCGU